GUGCCAGCCGCCGCGGUAAUACGGAGGGUGCAAGCGUUGUCCGGAAUCACUGGGCGUAAAGGGUGCGCAGGCGGGGCAGCAAGUCGGAGGUGAAAGCCCGUGGCUCAACCACGGAAGUGCCUUCGAAACUGUUGCUCUUGAGUCCCGGAGAGGUUGCCGGAAUUCGUGGUGUAGCGGUGAAAUGCGUAGAUAUCACGAGGAACACCAGAGGCGAAAGCGGGCAACUGGACGGGUACUGACGCUCAGGCACGAAAGCGCGGGGAGCAAACAGGAUUAGAUACCCGAGUAGUCC
Molecule: ribosomal RNA, 292 nt
Filed under: uncultured bacterium
Lineage: Bacteria
Description: partial 16S ribosomal RNA
Rfam family: Bacterial small subunit ribosomal RNA
Source: RNAcentral